AGAGAAUAGAUACCCGGGUAGUCCUAGCCGUAAACGAUGAGCACUGGGCUGAAGGGUCCUCCAUAGCCUUUCAGCCGCAGCGAAAGUGUUAAGUGCUCCGCCUGGGGAGUAUGGUCGCAAGGCUGAAACUCAAAGAAAUUGACGGGGGCUCACACAAGCGGUGGAGGAUGUGGCUUAAUUCGAGGCUACGCGAAGAACCUUAUCCUAGUCUUGACAUGCACGGAUUAACUCCUUGAAAGAGGAGCCAGGCCUUCGGGUACAACGUGCACAGGUGCUGCAUGGCUGUCGUCAGCUCGUGCUGUGAAGUGUCGGGUUAAGUCCCUUAACGAGCGAAACCCUUGUCGCUAGUUGCCAGCGAGUCAUGUCGGGGACUCUAGCGAGACCGCCGGCGUUAAGCCGGAGGAAGGCGGGGAGUGACGUCAAGUCCUCAUGGCCUUAUGACUAGGGCUGCACACGUCCUACAAUGGCGCGC
Molecule: ribosomal RNA, 472 nt
Filed under: uncultured bacterium
Lineage: Bacteria
Description: bacterial SSU rRNA
Rfam family: Bacterial small subunit ribosomal RNA
Source: RNAcentral